GACUUGGAAAAUCUUUGGGGUACAACCAGAGUAACACUCUCAAUUCCCCAAGCUCGCACAUAGUAAGUACACACUAAGGUAGAGGACACAACAGGUUAGAAUAGUGAUGUACAUUUAUAUUAAUAUCCACUGAGGUAUGAAUGACCCAACUACACUGUUACACAACUUAAGGCAGAAGCGUUGUAAGCCCUGGAUGUUACAGUUUCAAUAAUGACUUUACUGAGUUAAAGACAGGAAAGAAGAUGUAUCUUUCUAUGAUGACUAUGAGUUUAUCCUGUGACUACAGGUUUGUAGUUCUGAAUACAUACAGUUUAUGCUUUUGGUUAUUAUUGUUACCAUUUGAAAGCUCCUGGCUAUAGUUAUUUAGUAUCAUCAACUCAGUGAAAGCUUUCAAGUUUCUAUUCCAAACUUUGUAAAACAUGUUUUUAUUAUUAAAGUGCUGUAACAAUUAUUUUAGUGUCUUAAAUAUUUGAAGAUAGGAACAUAAUUUAUGAUAGUUACAUUAAAUAAUUCCAGCAUUUGCGAGAUUUGAGGCAGGUGGAUGGAGACCUUGAGGUCAGCCCGGGUUCCAUAGUGAAAUGCUCUCUUUAAUUAGAAGGUAUUAAUGUGAAAUCCAGAACCUAUAGACAAUAGAGUGAAUGAGGACACAGCAGACAGUACUGAGUGCCUGUUCCACUAAAGCUUGAGUAGAAUGAAUGGUCUAACUACUUAUCUGCUUAAUUUCCUGCUAAGCCAGACAUGAUCACAUCAAUUUCCUUUAUGAGCAAAUGUUACACAAUUACAACAUUGAGGGGGAGAGAAGUAAUUUUGAACUCUAAACAACAGGACCAUGAAUUGAUUGAGUCAACACAACUAGAAGGAACAACUCCUACCCUAGUUGGAAAGUUUAGUUGUAAGGAAUGAGUGCAGCAUUUGCCACACUGUGGAAGAGGCCUUGCCGAUUGCAAAAGAAAGGAAACUAAAUCACUUUUUAAAUUAAUCACACUUUGAAACUUGUCAUUAUUGUUUGUACGUAUUUGUUAUGAGAGUGGGAAUUUCUACUACCCAAGAAGAGAAUGUGAACUUUGAUUUUUUUUAAGUGUUCACACACAAAAGGGUUGGUUGGCUCUCAGCCACAAAUAAAUGUAAAAGUUGUCCCUAUGGCACAAGAACUCCCAUAGCCAGGGGAAACAAUGAGAUUAACUGCUGAGUUCUUUCAUUCAUUUGCUUUCAACAGUCCGUUGCCUUCCCUGAUUGCUUCUCUGCAUCUCUAGAGAAAUUACAGUUCAGAUUUGCCUGGAUCUGAACUGCACAUAAGUGGUUUCACAUGCUGUUCUCUGUGAUUGGCUUCCCUCCUCCCCAUGGCAUCUCUAGGUUCCUCUGCGUGGACUCGUGCCCUGUGAGUCAUCUCUGCGCCGAGACAUUGGUAUAUCUGAAUCCACUUACCGAGUUCCACAUCAAAUCCAAGCAAACGACAGAAGCUUGAGCUAUGGUUUUUGCAAUGGAUUCAUGGUUCAGCAUGAGGAUAACUGACAGCUUUAUAUCGCCAAGGCUUCCUGAUCCAAGGAUGAGUGUACAGCCCAUCUUUCCAUGUGUCUGACCCAUCUUUAAUGACCCCCCAAUCCUGCCUUCAGCUCCAGCCUUAUUUGUCUUGCCACUCCCUGGUGCCAGCAUACUCCUGCUAUCCUUAAUGACUUUCAUGUCUCAAAGUCACCAUGCCUUUUGUGCUCCUCCACCUUUGUACAGACUGUUCUGCCCUCCCGGGAACACCCUCUGCCCUCUCCCUCCUUCCCGUGACUAACUCAGACUGACUGUUCCACACUGGGUUAAGUCUUCUCGUCAGAGAAACUUUAUUAAGACAGUAUCCCCCUUUUUUUGUCCCGAUGACCCCCAACCCAGUCAUUGUUCAAUUCUGGUGGAAUAGUUUAUAUAUUUAUAUGCUAACAAUAGCUAGAAAUUUCAGGAGAGGGACUAUAUUCUGUAUCAGGGUACUGUGACAUCCAGCUGAUUCUCAUUAGACAAGUGAGUGUUGACAUCUGUGAGUGUUUAUGCAGCUUGGGGAUCACCGUGAUGACAGUCACUGCCAGAGUCCAGAAGCGCCCUGGACCCUGAGAUACUGGUGUUUGUGAAUGUUUCCUCCCUUAGAGGUGGCUUCAUAUACACCUUCAAAACUUGACCACUCUUUGGAACAUUUGCUUCCAAUGUCUAUUCAAAUUACUAAAGACCGUCCCAGCUUCUGCCUAGAAGUUGAAGGGCUGAAAUGAGAAGUGCUUACAUCCAAAGAUGAAGGCGCUUCUGGAACUCUUUUGUCUGAGACCAGAACCAUUUUCAGACAGGAUACUUCAGAGAGUAGCCUGCUCCUGCAUUCCGGAAACCGUCCCAGGCUGCUUCCACUAUUGGAGACUUUGGUGCUGAUGAAGAAACGAUAUCCUGAGUUUAAAAUGGGUGCCUAAGAGAAUAAAUAUGAACUAAUAGCCUUCUUCUGUGGGGGUCACGUGAUAAGAUCUGAAGCGUCAUUCACUGGCAUUUCUGACUAAUGAACGAGCAAAGUCCUUUCUCUAAAAGGUACACGAGCAACCUCAGUCACUUGUCUUUGCCAUGCGCUAGUGGAGUAUGCAGCUUCUCUAUCUCUUAGUGGCCAGAGGCGGAGGUCUCAGUGCUUCCUUGGUCUCAUCAGGGUGGACAUGCUUUUUUUCCACUAAAAGGGUGCAACGUGAACCAUUCUUCUCUGCUCACUGAGAGUGUAACCGGGUAGAGCUGUUGCCGGUAUCGUCAGUAGUCAUGGCCUUACCAUAUUCACUUCUGUGGUUAACAUCUCAGAUUAUCAAAGGGAGCACUGUAAGAACUGACAGAGUCAAGAUCCACUCAAUGAAGGUGCUUCUGGAACUGUUCAAUUCUGAGAGUUUGUAGUGUAGGUGGAUUGGACAUUCUCAGAGACAGGACUUUGUAACCCAUAAAGGUUAAACCCAGUUCAGAGAAACACUCUACUUGAGAAGGAGUUGGAUGCAAAAACAAAGAUAAAUGAACACAUUCUAUUUAGCCAUGUGUUACAGCAGAUAAAAAUGAUCUGAGAACCGAUUGUUCUUAAGAACCAGGAAAGAAACCAAACUGGUAAGAUCUAGUUCUUCUAAUGCUUCAAUGUGUUCUAGUUCUCCUUAAGGUAGCACUAGCACUCAGUCUGCAGACUUAAAACAUAAAAAACAAACAAACAAACAACAAGAAGUGAUUCACACAAUCGAACCCCAGGGUGCCCAGGUAGGAGGCAGUACAAUCCUUGGGCUGAACUAAAAGAACACAGAUGGGGUGCUAGCUCUUAUUUCCAUCGCUGUAAAACCACUGUCCGUCUCAUCAGAUAUAAGAUGAAGCCACGCGCCUCAUUGGUAUGCUUCGUGUGUUGUAAGGGGCAUGGCAUGCCUCGUUGUUUUUAUUGAGGAAACCUGGCAUAAGCUCCCUUGUCCCAUGUGUUUGCAAAACAAAUGUUCAAAUUCAGAAUAAUGCCCUAAUGCCCUGGUUCUCAAUCUUUAAUGCAGUUCCUCACCCUGUGGUGACCUCCAACCAUAAAAUAAUUUUGUUGCGCCUUCAUAACUGUACUUUUGCUACUGUUAUAAACUAUAAUGUAAUAUCUGUUAUGUAGUAUAUCUGAUAUGUGACCCCCAAAAGGGUCUUGACCCUCAGGUUGAGAACCACUGGUCUAAUGAGACUUUAAGAACUCAUAGCUAUUCUUCAAAACAACUAUCUUUUUCUGUCUCUCUACUCACACUCAGAUAUAUUAAUUGUACACACAUGCUACAGGCUUGCUUAGACAGUGAUUCAAGUGCUAGUUUUGCCUGAUGUCUCUGAAGCCUUAGCCUAUUCCUGGGGCCGGUUUACACUUCUGCUUAACGCCUCCACAAAGGAACUUUGUUGCAGCAGGAAUAGGGAGUAGCCAUACAGAGUCUGCUAUCUUAGCAGAUACAGGACUCAUCUGCUGACCCUGACCUGGAUUAUGUUUCAUUGAAGGGGUGACUUUUCUGAGAGUGAGGGACUCUUUACCUGGGUACACAUUAUAAAUGCUUUCCCCAUUUUGGUAUAUUUUACAAUUUUCUUGGAGUUGUACACACACACACACACACACACACACACACACACACACACACACACCUUUACAAACAUGCUAAAGAAAGAAAGCACAUUUAACGGUUCCACUCUAAAGAGAGCAUGCUGUUUUGAUGAGCAUUUUGUUUCUUUCAAAUAAACAUUGUUAUGACUUUAUCCUAGAGAUUUGGAGAAAAGCCACUAAAUAAAUGCACUAAAGCCUGAA
This 4279-nucleotide small RNA is filed under the name Rattus norvegicus (Norway rat). RNAcentral describes it as "uncharacterized LOC102553121". The record is from RNAcentral. Lineage: Eukaryota; Metazoa; Chordata; Mammalia; Rodentia; Muridae.